Molecule: transfer-messenger RNA, 354 nt
Filed under: Methylococcaceae bacterium
Lineage: Bacteria; Pseudomonadati; Pseudomonadota; Gammaproteobacteria; Methylococcales; Methylococcaceae
Rfam family: transfer-messenger RNA
About the family: Bacterial tmRNA, also known as 10Sa RNA or SsrA, is named for its dual tRNA and mRNA-like properties. Its role is to liberate the mRNA from a stalled ribosome.
Source: RNAcentral
GGGGGUGAUUUGGUUUCGACGUGGAUCACAAAACCCAAGGUGCAUGCCGAGGUGCAGUUCCCCUCGUAAAACCAGCUGCAACCAAGUUAGUUGCCAACGACGACAACUACGCUCUAGCCGCUUAAUCGGCUAGUCUCUGACCAGGGCCUGCUUAUGGACGCUGUCUCAGGGAUAACCCAAGCAUAAGCUCGCGAAGAGGCAAGUCCGGGGCCAAAUCGCUAAAACUCACGGAAUCGCUGUUCGUCUUCCCUGCCAGUCGGGGAGCGGGCCGUUAAAACCAAAGACUCGGAUAAGCAUGUAGAGCCGAAGGCGGAGGAUUUACGGACGCGGGUUCAAUUCCCGCCACCUCCACCA